Molecule: ribosomal RNA, 253 nt
Filed under: uncultured bacterium
Lineage: Bacteria
Description: partial 16S ribosomal RNA
Rfam family: Bacterial small subunit ribosomal RNA
Source: RNAcentral
AACGUAGGACGCAAGCGUUAUCCGGAGUUACUGGGCGUAAAGGGCGCGUAGGCGGCCCGGUAAGUAGGGGGUGAAAUCCUGCGGCUUAACCGCAGGGCUGCCUUCUAAACUGUCGGGCUCGAGCACGGUAGAGGCAGAUGGAAUUCCCGGUGUAGCGGUGGAAUGCGUAGAGAUCGGGAAGAACAUCAGUGGCGAAGGCGGUCUGCUGGGCCGUUGCUGACGCUGAGGCGCGACAGCGUGGGGAGCGAACAGG